AUGCUGUCACUUUGGCAGCAUAUGUACUAAAACCGGAAUGACACAGAGAAGAUUAGCAUGGCCCCUGUGGAAGGAUGACACGCAAAUUCAUGAAGUGUUCCAUAUUUUU
This 109-nucleotide small nuclear RNA is filed under the name Physeter macrocephalus (sperm whale). Lineage: Eukaryota; Metazoa; Chordata; Mammalia; Artiodactyla; Physeteridae. The record is from RNAcentral.